Molecule: unclassified non-coding RNA, 253 nt
Filed under: uncultured Sordariomycetes
Lineage: Eukaryota; Fungi; Ascomycota; Sordariomycetes
Description: sequence contains 5.8S rRNA gene, ITS2, 28S rRNA gene
Source: RNAcentral
AACGCACAUUGCGCCCGCCAGUACUCUGGCGGGCAUGCCCGUUCGAGCGUCAUUUCAACCCUCAAGCUCUGCUUGGUGUUGGGGUCCUGCGGCUGCCGCAGGCCCUGAAAUACAGUGGCGGGCUCGCUGCAACCUCCGAGCGUAGUACAUAACUAUCUCGCUAGGGAGGCGCGGCGCGCUCCGGCCGUUAAAGAACCCCAUUCUUUAGCACAAGGUUGACCUCGGAUCGGGCAGGAGUACCCGCUGAACUUAA